Small nuclear RNA from Rosa chinensis, 186 nucleotides. RefSeq annotates it as U2 spliceosomal RNA. The transcript has a single exon. The record is from RefSeq and is a predicted model, not a curated record. NCBI's taxonomy places the organism in Eukaryota, Viridiplantae, Streptophyta, Magnoliopsida, Rosales, Rosaceae.
UUCUAUUAUUGCAAGUUGACCAUAUCAAGUGUAUACUAUCUAUUCUUAUCAGUUUAAUCCUGAUACGUGGAUCAAUGGUUCACACGAUAUAAAUUAAUUUUUUGAAGGGGUAAGUCCACCACAAUAGCUUGCUAUUAAUACAACAACAACAAAAAGUUGACCAUAUUUCUUAGGUUGAAAAUCUCU